GCUGAACUUAAGCAUAUCAAUAAGCGGAGGAAAAGAAACUAACAAGGAUUCCCCUAGUAACUGCGAGUGAAGCGGGAAAAGCUCAAAUUUAAAAUCUGGCGGUUGCACCGUCCGAGUUGUAAUCUGGAGAAGCGUUUUCCGUGUUGGACCGUGUACAAGUCCCUUGGAACGGGGCGUCAUAGAGGGUGAGAAUCCCGUCCAUGACACGGACUACCAAUGCUUUGUGAUACGCUCUCGAAGAGUCGAGUUGUUUGGGAAUGCAGCUCAAAAUGGGUGGUAAAUUCCAUCUAAAGCUAAAUAUUGGCGAGAGACCGAUAGCGAACAAGUACCGUGAGGGAAAGAUGAAAAGCACUUUGGAAAGAGAGUUAAACAGUACGUGAAAUUGUUGAAAGGGAAACGCUUGGAGUCAGUCGCGUCUGUCGAGACUCAGCCUUGCCUUCGGGCUUGGUGUACUUCUCGGCCUGACGGGCCAACAUCGAUUUCGAACGGCGGAUAAAGGUCUGGGGAAGGUGGCACCUUCGGGUGUGUUAUAGCCCCUCUCCGUAUACGUCGUCUGGGAUCGAGGACCGCAGCACGCCCUUGUGGCUGGGGCCCUUUGCCCACAUAACGUGCUUAGGAUGUUGGCGUAAUGGCUUUAAGCGACCCGUCUUGANACACGGACCAAGGAGUCUAACAUGCCCGCGAGUGUUAGGGUGUAAAACCCUUGCGCGUAAUGAAAGUGAAAGUUGGGACCUCUGUCGAGGAGGGCACCGACGCCCGGCCCUGAACUCUUGUGACGGUGCUGCGGUAGAGCGUGUAUGUUGGGACCCGAAAGAUGGUGAACUAUGCCUGAAUAGGGCGAAGCCAGAGGAAACUCUGGUGGAGGCUCGUAGCGAUUCUGACGUGCAAAUCGAUCGUCAAAUUUGGGUAUAGGGGCGAAAGACUAAUCNAACCAUCUAGUAGCUGGUUCCUGCCGAAGUUUCCCUC
Molecule: ribosomal RNA, 966 nt
Filed under: Oxyporus sp. DSH 93-188
Lineage: Eukaryota; Fungi; Basidiomycota; Agaricomycetes; Hymenochaetales; Schizoporaceae
Description: eukaryotic LSU rRNA
Rfam family: Eukaryotic large subunit ribosomal RNA
Source: RNAcentral